This 74-nucleotide transfer RNA is filed under the name bacterium. Its description in RNAcentral is "tRNA-Arg". It matches the Rfam family "tRNA". From Rfam's summary of the family: Transfer RNA (tRNA) molecules are approximately 80 nucleotides in length. Their secondary structure includes four short double-helical elements and three loops (D, anti-codon, and T loops). Further hydrogen bonds mediate the characteristic L-shaped molecular structure. tRNAs have two regions of fundamental functional importance: the anti-codon, which is responsible for specific mRNA codon recognition, and the 3' end, to which the tRNAs corresponding amino acid is attached (by aminoacyl-tRNA synthetases). tRNAs cope with the degeneracy of the genetic code in two manners: having more than one tRNA (with a specific anti-codon) for a particular amino acid; and 'wobble' base-pairing, i.e. permitting non-standard base-pairing at the 3rd anti-codon position. The record is from RNAcentral. RNAcentral also lists the same sequence under 1 other name.
GCGCCUGUAGCUCAGUUGGAUAGAGCACUGGAUUCCGGAUCCAGGUGUCGGGGGUUCAAAUCCCUCCAGGCGUA